This 289-nucleotide ribosomal RNA is filed under the name uncultured bacterium. RNAcentral describes it as "partial 16S ribosomal RNA". It matches the Rfam family "Bacterial small subunit ribosomal RNA", at positions 335 to 621 of the family's 1533-position model. The record is from RNAcentral.
UGCCUACGGGGGGCAGCAGUGAGGAAUAUUGGUCAAUGGGCUUACGCCUGAACCAGCCAAGUCGCGUGAGGGAAGACUGCCCUAUGGGUUGUAAACCUCUUUUGUCAGGGAGCAACGCCGGCUACGUGUAGCCGGACUGAGAGUACCUGAAGAAAAAGCAUCGGCUAACUCCGUGCCAGCAGCCGCGGUAAUACGGAGGAUGCGAGCGUUAUCCGGAUUUAUUGGGUUUAAAGUGUGCGUAGGCGGCCUGCUAAGUCUGGAGUGAAAGGUACCGGCUCAACCGGUACAG